AGAUCAAUGCUCACCGAACACACAUAUACUGAAUAUUAAGAGUAUUACAUCCAACGUACCGUUUGAUACAACAAAUGAGCAUCAUCGUCAAGUCUCAUAUAGAAAGGGCCUAUAAGGCCAAUUACACCGAUACAUCUACUAGCGGAAAUAUUGGUAAUAAACGGGAGCCCAUGCCAUCAGCCUUCACCAACAUGCAUUCUGACUGGGAAGCAUCCUAGUUCACGUGUCCGUCUCCGAUGACGAAUUCUUCUCCAAACUCCGGUUCCUCCAUGUCUGGUCAAUAAAAUAACCAGUGGCAAGCCAGUGAGUACUUUGAAUGUACUCGCAAACAGCCCAUGAUAUGGAUAAUGUAGUUGGUGUGGUAAUAAAGUAAUAUGCAGACUUUGCGGAAAGCAAAUUUUUCGUAAGGAUGUACAUUGUCAAUUACUUGUAUGGAUAUGCAUCAUAAGCUAGAUGGUAUUCAUAAGUUGUACCCACAUGAUCCGAAAAACAUCCUUAUCACCCACGACUCGUGGUAUAUAUCAUACCCGAGGGAAGUACCCGAUCAUUGCCUUUCCCCUAACGAUUCUAGACAAAGAGUUCACUCGAUUGGUACCCAACCCACAUGAUGUACGUCUUACGAGCACCAACUCUAGACCGUAUCAUCCAUGCGGGGACCAAGGGUGUGCCGUGAACACAUAAAAACGGCAUAGUCGAACUACCUGGUACGACCCCGUCAUGAGAGUGACCACAUAUCACUCCCACCACUAGUAAUGUUGCUCAUUGCUAGCACCGACCAAAGUAAUCAAUAAAGCCCCGUCCCAUAAAGGGGUAUCGUGGUCGUACAUGUAAGGUUGGGACGGUCGACACAUCAUAAAUCUAAUCCCAUUUACGAAACCACUCACACAAAAUAUUUCUUGAUGCACCACUUCUUCACAAGUGGCCACCUAACUCAUCAUCACCCUCAGGCAUUAGUGGCACCCGACGUGGUUUUCGUAAAACCUUUGUUAUCAACUUUGUGUUACCAUCAUCAUGCACAUGCUCUUUCUAUGCAUAGCACUACUAUCUACUUGUCAAUAUGUUAUCAGUGUGACCCUCAUAAAUGAUAGGGUCAUGCUUAAUGCAAGUGGUCCAGAGGAGCUAUCGGAAACACCAUGCCGGGGUGCACCGAUCGUCCUUAACUAUAUGCAUCGGAGUACAAUUACCAAUGUGUCAUGCAUAGAAGUAUUUCUUAGACAUGGUCAAAGAGCCUCUUGCCUUGAUCAACUAUGUUCCGGGGUCUUCGGGGUCUUCGGGUUCAAGUACUUCGUCGAACGCGAAAUCUAUCGUCGCAAUAAUACUAAUAAAAUAAGAACCUCAUUCAAAAACACAGCACAAACUCACUUUAAAAAUGUUAUCCUAUUAUGAUCAAUCUUUAUUAUAGUUUGAAAAACAUUUGUUUCUUGUUUUGAUGCAAAAAGGUAUUUUUAAAACCUAAUUAACAGGGCCUAAAAUAUUUAAACUAGGCAUUUUAAUCAAAGUUAUGUAUAAAAGUUUUGACAAAAAUUGGUAAAAUAGAACUACUAAAUUUUACAUAUUUUUAGAAGAAUUGUGGUGGAAAAAUAUUUAGAUUUGACUAAAUAUUUAAUUUUACAAAAAUCAUUUAGAAUCAACAUAAAAAGAAACGGGGAAACGGGCUUAACCCUGGCCUGGCUCGGCAAGUGGCUGGGCCGGCCCAACUGGCCAACCGACAAACUAGCGAGCCAGCAGCCCAGGUGCGCGUGCACCCUCAUGUUUAAACCUGACGCAUGGGCCCCUGCAGUCAGUGGGAGAGAGAGGAGAGAGGGGGAGAGGCUGGCCACCACAGGUGGGGCAUGCCUGUCGGGGUCGUCUUCCUACUCUAGACAGAAGGGAGUGGGGGCACGCCGGCGGCGAUUCCGACGACCUCGUGGCCACAUGACGGCAGGAACGGCACCGAGGCAUCGCCGCCUACAUGCUGGUGGUCGAAUGAACAACGGGGAAGCCCUAUGUCACCGGCGAUGAGGUGGCCGCGCGAAGGUGCUUCGGGUGGUGGUGGAGUUUGGUGCUACGGACAGGGAAAUGCUCGGGGCAGAGGUGGGGAGGCUUGUUGAGCUCUCUACGCUCACGAAGGAGGUGAGAUGAGCACGAGAGCUGGCCUUUAGCCCGAGAUCAACGGAGCUCCGAAGCGGCGGGGCCUCGGUCGAUCUCGAGCACCAGAGCUCUCUCUGCUCGAAUGGGGUGGCUAGGACCUCCAUUGAGCAUCUCGAGGAGUGGCGUGGGGUGCUGGAGUGAAGGGGGAAGGCCUAUUUAUAGGCCAGCAACAGUACACCACGCGUGGGAGCAUCGGUGCUUUCACCGUGGCUGCAGGAGAGGGAGAGAGGGCUCGGGGUCGAUACCACGGUUUCGCGGACGUGGUUUGAGACCCCACAGACCAAACGAGAGAGAGGAGGCUCAGUGCACGCGUGCUGCGGGGCCGCACUCUUUUGGCGGAACCUGGCGCACGAGGGCACGUGUCACCCUGGUCAGCACAGAUGGGGAGAAGGGGCCCUAGGGCUGCCCUGAGUCAAGAGGUUUGUCGGAGACGCGAAGAGACCCCGAGGGGAGGUGAGAACCGGUCGGGGCUGGCCUCCUUUGCCUCGGGUGUGCCUUGUAGCGUGCCCAGAGCACAGAUUUGGCAUGCCACGGCAUGCUGGCGUGCUCUGGGGUGCUUUGGCCCUGUCUGACGUGUCCGGGGGUUGGCUUAGAUGCCCUUUAGCCGUUUGGGAGCCGAGGGUCUCACUGCUGGUCAAAGGAAGUGCUUGAAGAGGAGCUGUCAGGCUUGAUUCAGAAACUAAAUUGGGGAUUUUGACUCACCUGCUCGGAACCAUAGAGGGGCCACUCGUCUGCAGUUGAGGAGUGGUGCUGGCAGCUUGCACUAAGAGUUUAGUGGAAAGGGAGUGGGUGUAGAGGGUGUUAAGUGUUGUUUGACCAUCCAGGCAGAAGGUGAUUGAUAUGUGUUUGGGGUAGUUAACCUCCACCACUCAUGUUGAAAGUUAACAUGAUUGGGUUUAAUACAAAGUAGGAUGCUCCACCAAAUUUGAGCGCCAUUGGACAAGGUUGACAAUGCAAACUUGAAAUCCCCCAAAUGGGCAGUUCUGUCCUUUAAAAGAGAAUGUGGCUAAAUUAAUACCACAAAUCUAUUUUUUGGCAGGGUCUCUUCAUUUGGGGUGUUGAUCACUCGUGCAAAGCUUUAGGCCAUUUGGACAAACUUUUCUAUGUAGAGUUGCUUCAACUUAAUUCUGGAAACGGAAGGUCAUAGGAAUAUUUGGUGAACCAAAGAACCUUGGAAUAAGGUGAAACUUGGCAUGACCACCAAAUAUAACUUGGGAAGCAUGCUAGAAUUUUCUAGGAAUUUAUUGAAACUGUUUCCUUUGGAAAUAUUUCAAAAGGUCAAAACAGACAGAAUAGGUUUUCAAGGAUUUGCUCAAAUAUUUUGAACAUAAAUAGGGGUUGAAAAUCUUAUUAUGGAAAAUAUAUGUCCUGUGCAUAUCUUCAAUUUUCUCAGCAUACACACAAACAAUGGCAAUCAUGGCACACAAACAAUGGCAAUCAUGGCACUCAUAGCACUUGCUUAAAAAGUUAUAAUAAAUUCAGGUUUUUGAAAAGACUACAAUUGAAGUAAGGUAAAAACGUGUGUGACAAUACUGAAGAGAUGAGUAUAUGGAAAUCGCUUCCACUCUCCACAAGCUACAUCAAGUUCACAUAAAUACAACAAUAUACAAUCAUCAUGAAAAAGAGCAGGGUUCGACUAUGGACGAAAAUAAAUGAUAAAAGAACGACGUCCAUCCUUGCUAUCCUAGGUUGCCGGCGUGGAACCCAUCCUAGAUCGAUGAUGAUGAAGAAGAAGAAACUCCAAAAGCACAAUCAUCGCGCUCACAACAUAAUAUCACAUUACUUGUACUUGCAAUUGGUGUUGUAGUAAUUUGGGAGCCACAGGAACUCAGCAAUUUCAUUUCCAAAGGUAUCGAGACUAACAAAGCUUAAUUGGUGAGGCUGCAGCUAGCGACCAAGCAUUUAUUUGAGGUGGCUAACUUACGAGUACAAAAAUAAGAGGGGGUGAUCUACGCAUAUCGGAAGUGAACUAAUAAUGAUCAAGUGAAUGAUCGUGAACCCUACUUACGUCAGACAUAACCUCACCAUGUACUCGAUCGGAGAAGGAGCUCAAGAAAGAGACAGUCACAGUUACACACUUAGUUGGCAAGUUUUUAAUUAAGUUUACUUCAAGCUAUCUAGAACUGGAUGUUAAACAAAGUUUCCAAGUUUGCCACAUAACCGCGGGCAUGACUUUCCGAAAGAUUUAACCCUGCAAGGGUCCUCCAACUAGUCCAUCACAAACUACCACACGUUACGUCGGAAUGACCUCAAUCAGGGAAAACCUGUGAACUCCUCGGGUUCCUAUUGAAAAACCUCAACCUCAAGAAGUAUCCUCGGAAUCCCAUGCACGAGACGCUCGAGAAAGGUAAAACAGGUCCAGCAAGGCCGACCGCCGUGUCGACGAUCCCGAUAAGAGCUGUGUAUCUCGUUUUCACGACACGACGGAUAAGCACAAUGUACGGUGGCCUGAUAGAAAUCUCCCGAGUUGCCCCGGGUUGACCCUGCAAACGACUCUAGUUUGAACUAACACCAGCAGUACUGGCCCCCGUGUAUUAUGUUGAAUUAUUUCUCGGGUUCAUGACGCCCUAUGCUUUUCAACGGUGUUCAAUUUUAUCAUGUUGGGAAAAUAUAGUAUUAAUGUUGGGCCGUGUCAGGCGAGUUUUAUCCCAAAUUGAAAAUCUAGGGGUCCCCAUAACAACCCCAAGCAUGUUAGGAGCGCUCAUUUAUGGAACAUGACACCGGUAGACGAAACUAAGGGGGCAAAGGUGGAACAAAACACCAAGCUAGAAGGCCAAGGCUUCCACCUUUUACCAAUUAUAUAGGUGCAUUAAAUUAAAUAGCAAUUAUAUGGUGAUAUAACAAGGAACCAUGUCGGCACAUGGAUGCAACUGCACCUUCAACUAGCAACGCUAACAAAAGGUUGAGCAAGCGGUAACAUAGCCAAACAGUGGUUUGCUGGGACGUGGAAAAGGUUUUCAUGGCAAUGUUGGGAGGCAUAUUAAACAGGUGGUAGGCAGCGAGACAUAGCGAAAACGAGACAACUAGCAUGGCAAUGGUAGUAAUGGUAUCUAGAAAAAUGGUCAUCUUGCCUGUGACCUCUUGUAAGAAGAUUGAAUCCAUGAAGCAGACGAACCAACAUAGUCGAACGAAUCCUCACACUCCAAAGCGGUUCGGAACUCUAUCAAGAAGAAACAAACCGGAAACAAGAAUCAACACACGAUAUUCACCACGGCAAAUGCACGCUAUGAUGCACAACCUAAUAUGAUGCAUGUCCAAUUCAACUAUGCAAGGCAUGGCAUGGCAAUUCACAACAAUCAAACACUACACAUUAAGUGAAACUCCGCAUUCGAAUUAUUUAGUUCGCUCCCGUUUAGGUACACGACAAUUUUUUAAAUGUUGUUAGCAUGGCAAGAGAUGAAGGAUGUGAUUCUACAUGUAAUUCUAGUCGGUUUACACAUAGCUCACGUAAAACAGAGCUACCAUUAACUAUCUAUAGGCAGCUAUAGGCAUUGUAAAACAGUGACAAAAUCUGCUAUAAUGCAUGUCUUGAAAUAAAUAAAAGAUCAAAAGAGGGGAAAACAUAUAUGCAUGGGCCCAAUUGCAACUAAGUGAAGCCACCCAGAAUUGAAUCAGGCCCAAGUGGCUCAGUGUACGUCCGUGGAAACAAUAAAAGAGAGGCUUACGUGAUUUGAUCCCUGGACCUGGUGGAUGCCGAACUGCUGUCCUAGCCAACAGAGCUAGUAUCUGAUUAUGAUAUGAGAUGGAACUAUCCUAUUUGAAGUAGCGCUACAGAGCAACAAAAUAAUUCGAAUGCGGAGCAGGGUGCAGAUCAACAAAAACAGAGCAAAACAUAUUACUGGCUGACCUGGGAUUCGAACCCCAGAUCUCGGGGAUGAAACUGAGUGGUGCUAGGCAUCUCUGCUGCACUUGCUUGAGUGAAUUUCACACAGGUUAUUACUUAUAGAACUGAAGAAACGGCGGUUGGAGCUCACCAUUGGCCUAUCUCGGUGAGGAUGUUCGNNNNNCGAACUACGCAGGUUUGCCUACGGGGAAUAGGAGGAUACAGUUGAUCCAGGCACGGGCAACCCAUUCCCAGUGACGAGAGGUCUUGGGGAAGCGCGGAUGGGCGACCUCCAUGGACGGCGGAGGCGGGUUCCGAUGUGUUCCUGUCAGGGAAGAAACAAGCAAGAGGGAGAGGAAUUAGAGGAGAGAGGAUAGGGAAGGUGGGGCAUAGGAAGGAUCCUAGCGCAGAGGAGCGACCUGUUCGCUCCAGCGACUCAUCGGCGUCGGGGUUAAGGCGAGGUGCUCCGGCGGCGGUAGCUUCGCCAGGGAGGCUUGUCAACGAGGCGGUCUGGUCCAAUGGAACGGCCGGCACGACAGGUGGGGCAGGGACGAGCGAGCACCAUGGCUUCCAGCUCCCUUGACGCGAGCGAGGCGUGAGCCUUGCAUCCCACCGAGCAAAGAAGCAGGGUGUCGCGGGAGCAGGUGGUUGCACGGGGCUAGAGACGGCUCUCCGGACGAGGUACUCGGUGCCAUGCGCCGCGACUGUGUGAUCGGCCGCGGAUAUGGUUGGCUGGAUGUGUCCG
This 6698-nucleotide long non-coding RNA is filed under the name Hordeum vulgare. RNAcentral's name for it is "long non-coding RNA (HVUL_LNC012052)". Lineage: Eukaryota; Viridiplantae; Streptophyta; Magnoliopsida; Poales; Poaceae. The record is from RNAcentral.